UACGUAGGGUGCAAGCGUUGUCCGGAAUUAUUGGGCGUAAAGAGCUCGUAGGCGGCUUGUCGCGUCGACUGUGAAAACCCGCGGCUCAACUGCGGGCCUGCAGUCGAUACGGGCAGGCUAGAGUUCGGUAGGGGAGACUGGAAUUCCUGGUGUAGCGGUGGAAUGCGCAGAUAUCAGGAGGAACACCGAUGGCGAAGGCAGCUCGCUGGGACGGUACUGACGCUGAGGCGCGAAAGCGUGGGGAGCGAACAGG
This 253-nucleotide ribosomal RNA is filed under the name uncultured bacterium. RNAcentral's name for it is "partial 16S ribosomal RNA". It matches the Rfam family "Bacterial small subunit ribosomal RNA", at positions 524 to 776 of the family's 1533-position model. The record is from RNAcentral.